RNAcentral lists this ribosomal RNA (499 nucleotides) under marine sediment bacterium BB0608_2216_7.1_17G0. RNAcentral describes it as "bacterial SSU rRNA". It matches the Rfam family "Bacterial small subunit ribosomal RNA", at positions 75 to 571 of the family's 1533-position model. The record is from RNAcentral.
GUUCUUCGGAAUGAGUAGAGCGGCGGACGGGUGAGUAAUGCAUAGGAAUCUGCCCAGUAGUGGGGGAUAGCCCGGGGAAACCCGGAUUAAUACCGCAUACGUCCUACGGGAGAAAGCAGGGGAUCUUCGGACCUUGCGCUAUUGGAUGAGCCUAUGUCGGAUUAGCUUGUUGGUGGGGUAACGGCCCACCAAGGCGACGAUCCGUAGCUGGUCUGAGAGGAUGAUCAGCCACACUGGAACUGAGACACGGUCCAGACUCCUACGGGAGGCAGCAGUGGGGAAUAUUGCACAAUGGGGGAAACCCUGAUGCAGCCAUGCCGCGUGUGUGAAGAAGGCCUUCGGGUUGUAAAGCACUUUCAGUAGGGAGGAAGGCCCUAAAGUUAAUACCUUUAGGGAUUGACGUUACCUACAGAAGAAGCACCGGCUAACUCCGUGCCAGCAGCCGCGGUAAUACGGAGGGUGCGAGCGUUAAUCGGAAUUACUGGGCGUAAAGCGCGCG